This is a long non-coding RNA of Lolium perenne, 4209 nucleotides long. RefSeq lists it as uncharacterized. The record is from RefSeq and is a predicted model, not a curated record. NCBI's taxonomy places the organism in Eukaryota, Viridiplantae, Streptophyta, Magnoliopsida, Poales, Poaceae.
CACGAUCACGAAAUUUCCGGGACUCCCAAAAUGCCCUCGCGCGCGUCGCGCCGCGACAGGUCUCACUCCUGGCUCUCCCCCGCCCGAUCCGCCGCCGGCAGGGUUUCCCGCAUCCGCCUACAACUCCCGUACCAGCGACGCCACUCCUCCUGUUACCGGCUGGAGCAGGACGCGACGAGGGAUGCGACAGCGACAUCGAUGUAAAAGAUAUCGCAUUUUGAUGCGCCGGCGCUGGAGCUGCGUGCGGCGGCACCGGCACUGGCACCGGCACCGACUUCAAUUUACGAGCCUGCCUCACAAGGCGCCGAGCUGAGGCGAGGAAGGAGAGAUCUGGCGCGGAGUACAAGAGAAGCAAAGGAGACGCCGGCCACCAGCGGCAGGCGCUUCGCCACAUCUUCGCCGGCGACCUCGUCCGCGUCAGCUUUCCUAUCAACAGGUUAUUGGAAUUUGGGUAUCCUUUUUUAUCAUCAGUGGACAGGUUGUUGCUAUAAAGCAGCUCACUGAGGUCCUCAUGCUCAGUUUACUGCACCACCAAAAGCAUGUCAAUAUGGUUCUAUUGCUCAGUGUAUACUCCAACAUGAACAUAUAUUUUGGAAUAAUUGAUCUUGGGCAUUUCCCAAAUGCUGCACCGGGGUUUGGAAUAUCCAUGUUGGAUCAUCUUCCCACAAGGAGUAUAUACUGUUUAACGAGGCGAUUGAAGUCGCUUGGCUCCCAGAAAUUGGAAAUGCAACAAAAGUGUUCGUGCCAGAAGCUACAAGGGCUGGUGGAGAAUCGCAGCGAGGUGCAGGUUCUGGGCUAGGUUCCUUUCGGUGUCGCCUUGUUGCAGAUAACCACCUGGAGUUCAUCACUAAGAAUGUAUCGCCUCAUACUUUCUAUUGACUGUUUUGUCCGCACUGACUUCUGUAUUAGGCUCAGACAUUACAUGUUAAUCUACACAGGAACUUGCUUUAGAAAUUUUGUAGUGAAUGAUGGAAGAGGUAUCAAAUGAAUUUUAAAGCAUUGCUUAACGGUUCCAGAUAGUUAUGCUUUGGGUUAGUUUUUUAUUAGUAUCUUUCUAGGAACUUUCCCCUCUACAAAUUUUGGUCUGUGUUGUUACCGCUGCAGGCCAGCAAGACGGUUGGUGUCGAUGAUGAAGAGUGCCUGUUAUGUUUGAUUAUGGAAUGAUUUGGACACAUAUAGAGUAUUGCCGCCUUUAGCUUGCAAGGUAUGUUACCAUCUCAUGCCCCAUCCUCUUAUCUAACUUUUGUGCUGAACUGGGAAUUUGGGAUUAGCUAUUUACGGAUAGCCAAGAAGAACAUGACCCUCUUACAGGACCUCUGAUUGGUGGAUUAUGUUGUUGUCAUUGUCUUGCAUCAUUCGGAGAAAAGUCAUUCCAUCUUUAGCGUUGUUCGCAUGGAAAAUUUAAUAUAUAACAUGGCAAUAUGUGAAGUGGAACUUAUCGGUCUUCAGAAUGCCAGAUUUGACUCCAUUAACUAUGUAGGUUGUGGCAGUUUUUCAAGCUUCGGUUAUUAUGAGAACAGUGCGAUAGGUGUUAAUCAUACAAAAUAGUGAAAAUACUGAUCUAGCUUCAUCAACAAUACUUAGGAAAUACAAAUUUCAUGCAUUUGUUAGUACAAAGCUCAGAUAACAGGGCGGAUAUUUUCUUAAUGUUUUGAGGAAGCAAUAUCUGACUGACUGGUUGCUUGUUUUAACCUAUUUUCACCUGCUAAUUAUCAGAUUGUUGAUAAAGAAACCUUCUAUAUCUCUUCAUGCUACAAAAACAAAAGAAAUUUGGCUUUUCCUUAUCUGAGUAUGGAUUAACCAGGAAUCUUGUUUUUCUCUGCAUAGAUUUAUGCGCAGAAGCAUGUGUUAUUCUAUACAUAGUGGUUAUUUCCUUUACUCACAAUUAACUCUCCCUUUUUUAUCUCAAUUUUUUUUGUAUUCAGAUGUAUUAAAAAAUUUACUCCCAUUUCUAUGUUCUUUGUUAAAUAUUUGAUGGAGAAAAGUUCCAACUCGAUGGACAUGCAUAUUUUUGGAUUGCCGAAGAACAUGCAUCUAUGUUUACCAAGAUGUGUAGAUUUCAUUACUUGUCAGAAGAUCUGAUUUCUGUUGUAGGUAUCAGUAUCAUUUUCAUACCAUAACGAUAAUUUGCAAACCUAGCUUAGUUCAGAGUUCAGGCUGCUCUCGAGGACUUCUUUGGUGCGUGCAUCUUUUGUUUAUGUAAACUUGUAUAAAGCACAUGUGGUAGCUUAGUUUAGGUUUGGUCCACCUUUCCAUUGAUUUUUUAUCAUGUAAGAUUAUUGGUUUAUGUAAACAAUUAGGUCGCCAUUUGGUAUUUUCAUUGGAUACAGACUUAAAUGCAAGUGUGUGUGUGUGUGUGUGUUGCAAGCAGAACAGAGCAUAACUUGGAGUAACAUGCCGUUUGAUAGCUUUUUCAUUGGGCAGCAAUUGGCCUGCCACUGACCGGUGAGGAGGUGCCCCAUUGUUGGGUAUACAUAUGUGACUAAACUUCAGCUGAUAUAUAUCUUGUGACAUCGAAUUGCAGUUUUCUAAACGCUCUCCUCCCCACCAUUUGCUAUAUGUAGAUGUUAUAUGCUGCUGUAAAUGAACUGAUUGCCAUGUUAAAUUAUGUAGCACAUUCACAUUCCCAUGCAUUUUUUGGUAGAGAUAAUAUACCUGUAGAGGCAGGCCACAAUGAUCAUGGAAGAUAAAAACAGAAGAAGCCAUUAUUCCUGUUACAAGUUGAUGUGGUGCCCACCCUAAUUAUAUACCAAUUCUCUGUCCUUUUUGGGUGCUCCUUAUUUAUAUUUAUCCUUUUAUAAAUCUCUGCCUCUACAUCUGUAUAGCAACCCAUUGAUAUUUGCUUUCAGCCGUACUCAACAUAGCUAGCUUUCACCAUGCAUCCCUUAUAGACAGUACAUCUCUACUGCAGUUAUCCUCGCUGUCUGUUGCAUGAGAUGUUUUAGACAGAAUCAAUCAUAUAAGUGGCAUUUCAUCUAUUUUUGUUAUUGAUGUUUGCAAUAUUUAUUAACGGGAUUACAUUACAAGUAGCAACUCACUGUCCAUUCACUGCCUGUAGUGGGCACAUGAGAAGAAAAAGUAAACCAAGGAAUUAUUUCUACCAAUUGCCAAGUCAAACAUCAAACUAUCCCGUACUAUAGCUCACACUGAUUCUGAACUCUUUUCCUGACAGAAAACGAACACCAUAAUUACAUCAUGAGCAACAACUCAAGUUAGGCUGACAGUAAGAAGUAGAAGAAUAUCUGAACUGGUGAAAGAGAGGGCCUGCACCAAGAUGUGAAAUAUUAUCUGCUAACCUACCUACGAAAAUAGCCAUUUCUCUUCAAUUUAUCUAUCAUGUUUCUUAUACCAAGUCAAUGUUGCUUCUAUAUUGUGUAAAAUCAAAGAUGUGAUGUAUACUCCAAAUUGCAGACCAAUUUAGUAUCAAUAUGCCAAGAAGUCGAGGAUGUAUACUCUGAACUGCAGACACCAAAAUCAACUAACGGACACACUUCCUAGUAAGUCUCAAAACACGCUGGCUAAUCCAGAUACACACUGGCUCAGACUAUUAGACAACACUGAAGACAACAGCUACAGGAAGUGCUUGGUGUAUGGUGCAGCAGAGUCUAAAUGCCACAUAAGGGUGCUCAUUUUUCUCUUAAAUCACUUUUUAAUGUCACAUAUAUAUGCUCCAUGUACUGAAGUGUAGAAAAACUCGUGCUGGGGUAUCUUUUGCUUGAUGACAUACCAUGGAACUGCAAAAUGAAUCAAAUAUUUUACGAUAGGCAGUUUGCGGAAAUGAAUCAACCGAGUUAUCUUUUGCUUGAUGACAUGCCAUGGAACUGCAAAAUAAAUCAAAUAUUUUAUGAUAGUCAAGACUUCUAUCCGGUAGCUCUCUUCCUUUACGAGCCGACGCACUCAGCUGGUCCGGAGCUACUCAUAGCUUUGAAGAAAGAGCAGCUACUUAGUAAACUGCAAUCUGGGGAAAAUGGGAUAUGUGUAAGACAGCACAAUGGAGAGCAGUUAAUGUGUAUUCAUGGCUUGAUUUGUACACCUAACUGGGACAAACUGAUGUUCUUGAGCUUCUCUCUUGAACUGUUGGAAUGGAACUACUAUUUAGACUCCAUUUAUGACAACUAUUAAAUUUGCAUCCCAAAUUAAGUAACGUGUUUACUUAUUCUCAUCACAUAAUACCUCUCAUCUGAAAAAGAAAACCUGAUCUUUCCUGAU